CCUACGGGUGGCAGCAGUGAGGAAUAUUGGUCAAUGGACGGAAGUCUGAACCAGCCAUGCCGCGUGCAGGAAGACGGCUCUAUGAGUUGUAAACUGCUUUUGUACAAGGAUAAACUUGAAUACGUGUAUUCAGCUGUAAGUACUGUACGAAUAAGGAUCGGCUAACUCCGUGCCAGCAGCCGCGGUAAUACGGAGGAUGCGAGCGUUAUCCGGAUUCAUUGGGUUUAAAGGGUGCGCAGGGGGGCGUUUAAGCCGGCGGGAAAAUGUCGGGGCUCAACCCAGACGAGACGUUGGAACUGGGGGCCUUGAGUGCGGCGGAGGCAGGCGGAAUGCGCGGUGUAGCGGUGAAAUGCAUAGAUAUCGCGCAGAACCCCGAUUGCGAAGGCAGCGUGCCGUGCCGCCACUGACGCUGAGGCACGAAAGCGCGGGGAUCGAACAGGAUUAGAUACCCCAGUAGUC
This 459-nucleotide ribosomal RNA is filed under the name uncultured bacterium. RNAcentral describes it as "partial 16S ribosomal RNA". It matches the Rfam family "Bacterial small subunit ribosomal RNA", at positions 338 to 795 of the family's 1533-position model. The record is from RNAcentral.